CCAAAAGGACUAAAGAACACCACAAAACUUUUUAACUACUCAACGGCUAUUCCUUACUCUAAGCCUUCUCGUCGGCCUUCUCAUUAAGCUCGUUUUGCGACGCACGAGCAGCACUGAGAGGCUCAAGCUCUUGAAGCUUACCAGCCUGCCUGGCGGGGUCGGCAAAGGUUCGCACAGGGUCGUUGAGGUGUCGGAAGUAGGU
RNAcentral lists this small RNA (202 nucleotides) under Cryptococcus neoformans H99. RNAcentral's name for it is "Cryptococcus neoformans var. grubii H99 hypothetical RNA". The record is from RNAcentral. Lineage: Eukaryota; Fungi; Basidiomycota; Tremellomycetes; Tremellales; Cryptococcaceae.